CGCUCUUCCUCUAAGUCCAUGAUGGGUUUCUUGCAUUUGAUCAUCCAUUUCCCAUUGUUAAAGGCACAGGCAUGUACUUGGCUGGAAUUGCUUCCUUUGUGAAGGAAUUUGCUCCUUGACCCUGCACUAAUUCCAUCAGCGGCUGCAAAGAUUGUUUCUGCUGUAUCUAACUGAUUGCAAACUUCCACCUCCAUCUUCUCAACUUGUCCUGUGUGGAAUCUGGCUGAACUGAUUUGAAAUAUGCUUGAAUCAAUCUGCUCCUCAGAAUUAUUGGAAGUUUGGACUUUGAAUUUGUUAGCCCCACCUUGAUAUUCCCCCAAUAAGUUCUGGUUCUCAUUCUGGCCAUCCUUAGCUAGAAUGUGUUGACCGAGAAGCUGUUCACUUGAACUGCUGUCUUCGGCAGUUAUCUGGUUGUGGUUGUCAUUNCAUUGUCCUCAGUGUCAUCUUGAUCAGCUUCAGAGGAACUCUGAGAUGAAUCAGAAAUUUGUAUACCCAUGGACAAUUCGUCAUUGGCAACUUGCUUUUCUUCUAUACUGGAAGCAAUGAUGGCCAUAUUUUGAUCACUUUCCAUCUCCCUGGACAUCUGGACUUCAUUUGUUUCAGCAUUGCCCAUCUCAUCAAAACUCUGAGAAUAAACAAUUUGACCUUGAAGCAACUCAAUUUUGUCUUCAGCUUGAAGCGAUUUAUCUUCUUGGUAACCAUUCAAAGCUUCGGUUGUUAUGCUGCUAUUGCAAUCUUUUUCAGCAUCCCUAAGCCGAGGAUUCUUUUCAAAGAUACCAUGCUCUGUUUCAUAAACUCCAUCCUCCUGAUUAUUCUCAUCAACUGCUGUUGAUUCCACAAUUGGCUCCUCCACUGAAGCUGAAGCAGUCACAGCACCAGUCGAAUCUUUCUCAGCAUCUUCACUCUUCUCUUCCACUGCUGUUGGUUCCUCAAAUGCAUAUUCAAUGGAAGAAACUUGUUCGUCAUAAGUUAAAUCACCAUCUGCUCGGGUAUCUUCAUGGAUCUCCCAAGUCUGCAGUGUACCUUCACUUUCGGAAUCACUAUCAAUCCAAUGUGUGUCAAAGGAGGCAGGUUCUUCUUCUAGGAGUUCUUUCAAUACCUCAUCAGCUAGAAUCUCCUCAGUGCAGUUGCUAACUGUGUCAUCUGAUCUAAUGUUCUCAGGUUCUUCAGUCAAAUUAAACUUCUUGAUGUCUGACAGGCAAUCAUCCCUGAUACAAGAUUCUUUGUCAGACUUGUCCAAAUAAUGAACUUCUGCAUCAAACCCUGAUGUGGAAAAUUGCUCCUCCUCCCACUCCAUUUCGCUAGCAUUAGAAAUGCUGUCAUCUUCCUCCAUGCUUGCAUGGACCUCUUCAAUGUGACUCUCGUUGUCACGCCUUUCUGUUCUUCCUUCUUCUUGGAACAAAAUGGGUGGGUAUUCUGCAUCCACAUCUUCUGCUUUUUGUUCUUCAAUAACGUCCUCUGUCAUCCAAAUCUCAGCCGGAUAGCUAUAAUUUUUCUGUCCAUAGUUUUCCUCGAAAUCAGUCUCCAGGUGUGGUGAUGCAUCCAACAGGUUCCCAUCAACUUGCUCCAUGUUCUCUUGUUCAGCUGCUGCUUCUUCGCCACCAUGGAAAAAGCACUCGCUGUCCCCUUUGUUGGGUUCUCCAGCAAAACCGAUGUUGCUCUCAUCAUCCUCCACUGUGUGCUUUUCAGUUGCUUCAGGGCCAACUGCUGUAUUUUUGGCAUAGAUUUCAACAAAGAAAUCCACAUCCACUUCUUUUACCACUGGAAUUGUUGCUGAGUCAAUUGAAUCUGCUUCCUUAUGUGGUGGUUUGUCAUCAGAGAAAAUUAGUAGUUGACUUCUAAUUUCUUCUGUUCCAUCACCAAACGUCUUAGCUCUGCGUGGGGAUAAAGCCUCCAAUUUUGCACUCUUUUGGACCUUCAGUGAACGCCUUCUUGCCUUCAAGAAGCACUUCAAUGGAGGCAAAGGACUGUGAUGAUGACCGUUAAGAGAGCAGUAGGUGUAUGGACAGACCUUCAGGACUGAAGUUCCUUCUGCCUCGUUACCCCCAGGAUUGAGCAUGAGAUAAGCAGGAAACUUCGAGUCCUUCAGAGUUGAAGAACAGGUGGCUUUCUGUGAAUCCAUAUCUGCGCAUAGAGCUACCCUGGAACAUUUUUUU
This 2156-nucleotide unclassified non-coding RNA is filed under the name Hevea brasiliensis (rubber tree). The record is from RNAcentral. Lineage: Eukaryota; Viridiplantae; Streptophyta; Magnoliopsida; Malpighiales; Euphorbiaceae.